GCUAGGUGAGGUGGUGCACGCCUGUAGUCCCAGCUACUCGGGAGGCUGAGAUGGGAGGAUCACCUGAGCCCAGGAGGUUGAGGCUGUAGUGAGCUGUGAUUGUACCACUGCACUCCAGCCUGGGCAACAGAGUGAGACCCUAUCUCAA
This 148-nucleotide small RNA is filed under the name Papio anubis (olive baboon). RNAcentral's name for it is "Metazoan signal recognition particle RNA (ENSPANG00000045650.1)". Lineage: Eukaryota; Metazoa; Chordata; Mammalia; Primates; Cercopithecidae. The record is from Rfam by way of RNAcentral.